GCCUUCAUAGUUAAAUGGUAUAACGCAGCAAUGGUAAUGCUGAAUUCCAAGUUCGAUUCUCGGUGGAGGCACCA
Molecule: transfer RNA, 74 nt
Filed under: Acholeplasmataceae bacterium
Lineage: Bacteria; Bacillati; Mycoplasmatota; Mollicutes; Acholeplasmatales; Acholeplasmataceae
Description: tRNA-Thr
Rfam family: tRNA
About the family: Transfer RNA (tRNA) molecules are approximately 80 nucleotides in length.
Source: RNAcentral